RNAcentral lists this long non-coding RNA (321 nucleotides) under Lathyrus oleraceus (garden pea). RNAcentral describes it as "Pisum sativum (pea) long non-coding RNA (PSAT_LNC038141)". The record is from RNAcentral. Lineage: Eukaryota; Viridiplantae; Streptophyta; Magnoliopsida; Fabales; Fabaceae.
AGAAAUGGAUAACAAAUGGUUUUGAACUCGGCAUUCAUGUUGUGUGAUUUUUCUUUCUCUUUUUUUUCGUGCAUCACUUAUACUCUGGGGGUUAAUUUCACUCUUUUGACUCUUUUCCACUCAAUUCUUUGUGAGCAUUUUAUAGUUGUUAGAGUCUUAAGUCUCGGCAAGUGCAUUUUUUCUCUUUUCUUUUUUUUUUCUUUUUGGACAUACACAAAUCUCUUCUUUUUGUAUGAUCUCUUAUUAUGCACUUGCCCUAUCUUUCAAGAUUACCACCCCAAACUUAGCUUUAUGCACAUCUUGUAACUCACAACAAUCAUG